UAAGCUGUGUGCAUAUGCCAAGAGGUGAUUUUUUUGUUGUUGUUUUUGUGCAAACAGGGAUCAGGAGUCCCCAUUCAGCUCUUUCCACCUCAAAUCCAAGAGUGUGAGUUACGGCGAGGAGGCCUCCAGGAGAUACGUGGCAGAGCAAGGCCUGGUGGACAGGAGGCAGGAGGAACAGUGAAAGGAGAAUAUGCAGAGAAGUUUCCAAGCUCCACUCCUUUGUUCUUGGGUCAAAAGAGAAUUAGAGGUAAGAAAACAAAUGUGUUAGUCAAGUCAGUUC
This 280-nucleotide long non-coding RNA is filed under the name Struthio camelus australis. Its description in RNAcentral is "lncRNA (ENSSCUG00000011833.1)". The record is from RNAcentral. Lineage: Eukaryota; Metazoa; Chordata; Aves; Struthioniformes; Struthionidae.